Non-coding RNA from Clostridiales bacterium 41_21_two_genomes, 113 nucleotides. The record is from Rfam. Lineage: Bacteria; Bacillati; Bacillota; Clostridia; Eubacteriales.
UCCGCCGUAAGGUAGAAUCUGAAGGAAGUCUGCGGCAAACCAUCGGUUCGACGGACAGAAAUCAUGUAUAAGGCUUACAGCCUGGAUAAGACUGCUGAUCAAGUUAAAGUCCA